This 460-nucleotide ribosomal RNA is filed under the name uncultured bacterium. RNAcentral describes it as "partial 16S ribosomal RNA". It matches the Rfam family "Bacterial small subunit ribosomal RNA", at positions 338 to 795 of the family's 1533-position model. The record is from RNAcentral.
CCUACGGGAGGCAGCAGUGAGGAAUAUUGGUCAAUGGACGAGAGUCUGAACCAGCCAAGUAGCGUGAAGGAUGACUGCCCUAUGGGUUGUAAACUUCUUUUAUAUGGGAAUAAAACAGGGUAUGCAUACCCUCUUGUAUGUACCAUAUGAAUAAGGAUCGGCUAACUCCGUGCCAGCAGCCGCGGUAAUACGGAGGAUCCGAGCGUUAUCCGGAUUUAUUGGGUUUAAAGGGAGCGUAGGUGGAUUGUUAAGUCAGUUGUGAAAGUUUGCGGCUCAACCGUAAAAUUGCAGUUGAAACUGGCAGUCUUGAGUACAGUAGAGGUGGGCGGAAUUCGUGGUGUAGCGGUGAAAUGCUUAGAUAUCACGAAGAACUCCGAUUGCGAAGGCAGCUCACUGGACUGCAACUGACACUGAUGCUCGAAAGUGUGGGGAUCAAACAGGAGUAGAUACCCCAGUAGUC